Panicum virgatum (switchgrass) is the source of this 1228-nucleotide long non-coding RNA. RefSeq lists it as uncharacterized. The record is from RefSeq and is a predicted model, not a curated record. The transcript is spliced from 3 exons. Lineage: Eukaryota; Viridiplantae; Streptophyta; Magnoliopsida; Poales; Poaceae.
GCUAAUUACUGUAAUUAGUGACUUUUAGCCUUUCAGCCCAUCGAGCCCAAUUGGGCCUCUCUACGACGAUCUGAUCGUCCAUCGAGCCCAAUUGGGCAUCUCUGAUCGUUCGUAGUCCUCCACGACACCGUUCGAUCUGCUACUCAGCUGCUGCAUCUUCCUCCUCCCUAGCACUAGCUCGCCCGCGCCGCCGCUUCUUCUCGCCGUCCUCACCGGCGCCGCCCGCUUCUGCUGGUUAGGGUUUUGGGGCUGGGGGGUUCGGGUUCUCCGGUGUCUGCCGGCUUAGAGGCGGCGAGAGCCGUCGACUGCGGGCGGAGGAAGAGGAAGAGGAAUGGAGGGCGCGGGCGCGCGGAAGAGGAAGGGAGGGCGCGGGCGCGCGGCGGGGCAGCCGCGGCGCCGGUGAGGCGCUAGCGGAUGCGAUGGAGGCGGCAUGACGGGGGCGGGGGCAGGAUUCAUAGGAAUGGACAUGCUGAGCGGUUGAGCUGGCCACACACUGGCCGGCGGUCCGGCGGUUGAGCUGGUGAGUCAUCGAGCCAUGGUGUCCUGAGGUUUUGGUCGAGGGGACAGCCGAGGAAGAGUGGCGUCGCUUCACGCCUUCAUGUGUAUGAUCCGGGAGCCAAUUGCAGAGCCGCUUCCAUGAUUGUUUCAAGCGAGCAGGAGAUACACAAGGGAAGCAAGAGGAGGAAACUAAGGGCAUAUGAAGAGAGGAACCUGUGCAACCGUCAGGGACGUAUGGAUUGCCUUUGUAUCCCGGGGAGCACUUGCAGUGGUAACCCACGUAGUUGUUGUCGAUGCAGUCGCUAUUGUUGCUAACACACGCAUAGGCAGUCUUGUUAGUUCUGGCUUCCUCGCAUGUUUUCUGUGCUAGCCCCCAUUCUAGCACAGUGGGUAUCAGCGAGCUGUCCAUGUCGUAGAACACCGUUGAGGUGAGAUAGGUGGUGCUGAAGUUGAAGGCUGCGGUUUCCAUCACCGCUAUGUAAUUGCAAGGGGUUCUCCUACAUAUUUGGCUGGUGUUGUACUGCUCAUUGAAAUAGCUGUCGUAUUUCCGCACACCUUUCGGUAGAGCUGCCUGGCAGCACCCAUCUGUACCAGUGCAUGAUGAGCCGUUCUUAAGCCGUUCUUGAGUGCAUGUUGACGAGCACCCGAUUAUGUACUGCAUGGUUUGAGCACGAAUCAGUUAGCUGCUAAGUUUGGAGAAGUAAUAAUAGACUUCGCUUAUAUAUGAUUA